GAUGAAGAACGUAGCGAAAUGCGAUACGUAAUGUGAAUUGCAGAAUUCAGUGAAUCAUCGAGUCUUUGAACGCACAUUGCGCCCCCUGGUAUUCCGGGGGGCAUGCCUGUCCGAGCGUCAUUGCUGCCCUCAAGCACGGCUUGUGUGUUGGGCCUCCGUCCUCCUCCCGGGGGACGGGCCCGAAAGGCAGCGGCGGCACCGCGUCCGGACCUCGAGCGUAUGGGGCUUCGUCACCCGCUCUUGUAGGCCCGGCCGGCGCUUGCCGACACAUCAAUCUUUUUUCCAGGUUGACCUCGGAUCAGGUAGGGAUACCCGCUGAACUUAAGCAUAUCAAUAAGCGGAGGA
Molecule: unclassified non-coding RNA, 345 nt
Filed under: soil metagenome
Description: partial contains 5.8S ribosomal RNA, internal transcribed spacer 2, and large subunit ribosomal RNA
Rfam family: 5.8S ribosomal RNA (bases 1-120)
Source: RNAcentral